This 107-nucleotide non-coding RNA is filed under the name Lotharella globosa. Lineage: Eukaryota; Cercozoa; Chlorarachniophyceae. The record is from RNAcentral.
CCAAGCGACAUUGCAAGAAGAAAAUACUGGUUUCAAGUGAACCCACAGUGGAAAUUUUUUCGCAAGGACGAAAAGGCCAGGUAAUGGGGCGCCGUCCUUCUGGGACG